Molecule: unclassified non-coding RNA, 236 nt
Filed under: Hevea brasiliensis (rubber tree)
Lineage: Eukaryota; Viridiplantae; Streptophyta; Magnoliopsida; Malpighiales; Euphorbiaceae
Source: RNAcentral
CGCGGCGAUGGCCGAUGCAGGCCUGAUCCUGCCGGAAUAUCCCUUCGUUGAAAGCCAGAUCCAGCCCGCCAGUCUCGACCUGCGCCUCGGUGCGAUUGCCUACCGCGUGCGCGCCAGCUUCCUNNNNNNAUGACGGUGGCGCAGCGUAUCGAUGAGCUCAAGCUGCACGAGAUCGAUCUGUCCGAUGGCGCGGUGCUGGAAACCAACUGCGUCUAUAUCGUGCCGCUGCUGGAAAG